UACGGGGGGUGCGAGCGUUGUUCGGAAUCACUGGGCGUAAAGCGCGUGUAGGCGGCCUUGUAAGUCUGGUGUGAAAGCCCGGGGCUUACCCCCGGAAGUGCACUGGAGACUGUGAGGCUAGAGUACCGGAGAGGAGGGUGGAAUUCCUGGUGUAGCGGUGAAAUGCGUAGAUAUCCGGAGGAACCCCGGUGGCGAAGGCGGCCCUCUGGACGGAUACUGACGCUGAGCCGCGAAAGCGUGGGGAGCAAUCAGG
RNAcentral lists this ribosomal RNA (253 nucleotides) under uncultured bacterium. Its description in RNAcentral is "partial 16S ribosomal RNA". It matches the Rfam family "Bacterial small subunit ribosomal RNA", at positions 524 to 776 of the family's 1533-position model. The record is from RNAcentral.